Molecule: ribosomal RNA, 253 nt
Filed under: uncultured bacterium
Lineage: Bacteria
Description: partial 16S ribosomal RNA
Rfam family: Bacterial small subunit ribosomal RNA
Source: RNAcentral
UACAGAGGGGGCAAGCGUUGUUCGGAAUUACUGGGCGUAAAGGGCGCGUAGGCGGCCCGCUAAGUCGAACGUGAAAUCCCCGAGCUCAACUCGGGAACUGCGUCCGAUACUGGCAGGCUUGAAUCCGGGAGAGGGAUGUGGAAUUCCAGGUGUAGCGGUGAAAUGCGUAGAUAUCUGGAGGAACACCGGUGGCGAAGGCGGCAUCCUGGACCGGUAUUGACGCUGAGGCGCGAAAGCUAGGGGAGCAAACGGG